This 459-nucleotide ribosomal RNA is filed under the name uncultured bacterium. RNAcentral describes it as "partial 16S ribosomal RNA". It matches the Rfam family "Bacterial small subunit ribosomal RNA", at positions 338 to 795 of the family's 1533-position model. The record is from RNAcentral.
CCUACGGGAGGCAGCAGUGAGGAAUAUUGGUCAAUGGUCGGGAGACUGAACCAGCCAAGCCGCGUGAGGGAUGAAGGUACAGAGUAUCGUAAACCUCUUUUGUCAGGGAACAAAGGCGGGGACGUGUCCCCGGAUGAGUGUACCUGAAGAAAAAGCAUCGGCUAACUCCGUGCCAGCAGCCGGGGUAAUACGGAGGAUGCGAGCGUUAUCCGGGUUUAUUGGGUUUAAAGGGUGCGCAGGCGGUCUGUUAAGUCAGCGGUCAAAGCCCGGGGCUCACACCCGGCCCGCCGUUGAAACUGGCAGGCUCGAGUUGGAGAGAAGUAUGCGGAAUGCGCGGUGUAGCGGUGAAAUGCAUAGAUAUCGCGCAGAACUCCGAUUGCGAAGGCAGCAUGCCGGCUCCACACUGACGCUGAGGCACGAAAGCGUGGGUAUCGAACAGGAUUAGAUACCCCUGUAGUC